Molecule: transfer RNA, 84 nt
Filed under: Felis catus (domestic cat)
Lineage: Eukaryota; Metazoa; Chordata; Mammalia; Carnivora; Felidae
Also listed under: 1 other name
Rfam family: tRNA
About the family: Transfer RNA (tRNA) molecules are approximately 80 nucleotides in length.
Source: Rfam by way of RNAcentral
GCCUGGCUGGCUUAGUCGGUUGAGUGUCCGACUUCAGCUCAGGUCAUGAUCUCACAGUUUGUGGGUUCAAGCCCACAUCAGGCU